This 21-nucleotide microRNA is filed under the name Ovis aries (sheep). RNAcentral's name for it is "microRNA miR-21". The record is from RNAcentral. Lineage: Eukaryota; Metazoa; Chordata; Mammalia; Artiodactyla; Bovidae.
UAGCUUAUCAGGCUGAUGUCG